AUGGUGGCGUACCCACCUAACAGAAGGAUGUUUCCCAGGAUGCGAAUCCGCCGGCGUCGUUUUGAUCAAAUCUAACUUUUUUCGAUCUAGUUGGCGUGGGGUUUGCCGUACAAGUAUACAGCUAGCAAUUCCGUUUUUCGAACCUCAGUCGUAACUUGGGACAGUCGGAACACACAUCAGACAAAAUAUUAUUCAAAAUUCUUACAAAUAAUAAAUAAAUAAAUAAAAUUACAGUUCUAAUAAAACGUUAACGUUAAAACGUGUAUUCGUGUGGACCAAAAUUUCAAUUUUUUCGACCUGCCAAUCAGUUUCGAUAAAAUUCAUUUUCAAUCAUUUUACGCUUAAAAUUCUCUGGAAUUUGUGAAAAUAUUCUAUAACAUUGCAGCACGACGACAAGGUCCCCGCGACCAGCUUGUGUCAAGCCAAGCCAAGCCUGAUGUAAAGAACCGAUUUUUUCUAUUUUUGCUCGCUACUAAGUGCAACGGCUAGCUCAACGGCUAGAGUUUGUGCGUUCGUCCCACCAAAUUUAUGAUUUGUAUGAUUGUCUG
Molecule: long non-coding RNA, 548 nt
Organism: Drosophila sechellia
Lineage: Eukaryota; Metazoa; Arthropoda; Insecta; Diptera; Drosophilidae
Exons: 2
Source: RefSeq, a predicted model, not a curated record